GACGAACGCUGGCGGCGUGCUUAACACAUGCAAGUCGAACGGGAGGGAAAGAGAAGCUUGCUUCUUUUUGAAUCUAGUGGCAAACGGGUGAGUAACACGUAAACAACCUGCCUUCAGGAUGGGGACAACAGACGGAAACGACUGCUAAUACCGAAUGUGUUCCGGAGACCGCAUGAUUUCCGGAAGAAAGGAUGGCCUCUAUUUAUAAGCUAUCGCCUGAAGAGGGGUUUGCGUCUGAUUAGGCAGUUGGUGAGGUAACGGCCCACCAACCUACGAUCAGUAGCCGGUCUGAGAGGAUGAACGGCCACAC
This 310-nucleotide ribosomal RNA is filed under the name uncultured bacterium. RNAcentral describes it as "bacterial SSU rRNA". It matches the Rfam family "Bacterial small subunit ribosomal RNA", at positions 28 to 313 of the family's 1533-position model. The record is from RNAcentral.